RNAcentral lists this non-coding RNA (114 nucleotides) under Pontibacillus yanchengensis. Its description in RNAcentral is "SAM-I sequence". It matches the Rfam family "SAM riboswitch aptamer (S box leader)". Rfam says of the family: The SAM riboswitch is found upstream of a number of genes which code for proteins involved in methionine or cysteine biosynthesis in Gram-positive bacteria. The SAM riboswitch acts at the level of transcription termination control. RNAcentral also lists the same sequence under 1 other name. Lineage: Bacteria; Bacillati; Bacillota; Bacilli; Caryophanales; Bacillaceae. The record is from RNAcentral.
CUCUUAUCUAGAGCGGCAGAGGGACUAGGCCCUGUGAAGCCCGGCAACCAUCCAGACAAACGGUUUGGAAAAGGUGCUAAUUCCUACAGGUCAUGAGGAUCUGGAAGAUAAGAG